This 301-nucleotide ribosomal RNA is filed under the name uncultured bacterium. RNAcentral's name for it is "partial 16S ribosomal RNA". It matches the Rfam family "Bacterial small subunit ribosomal RNA", at positions 509 to 809 of the family's 1533-position model. The record is from RNAcentral.
CAGCAGCCACGGUAAUACGUAGGGCGCAAGCGUUGUCCGGAAUUAUUGGGCGUAAAGAGCUCGUAGGCGGUUUGUCGCGUCUGCUGUGAAAUCCUCAGGCUCAACCUGGGGCUUGCAGUGGGUACGGGCAGACUAGAGUGCGGUAGGGGUGACUGGAAUUCCUGGUGUAGCGGUGGAAUGCGCAGAUAUCAGGAGGAACACCGAUGGCGAAGGCAGGUCACUGGGCCGCAACUGACGCUGAGGAGCGAAAGCAUGGGGAGCGAACAGGAUUAGAUACCCCGGUAGUCCCUGUCUCUUAUAA